Molecule: transfer RNA, 74 nt
Filed under: Chloroflexota bacterium
Lineage: Bacteria; Bacillati; Chloroflexota
Description: tRNA-Gln
Rfam family: tRNA
About the family: Transfer RNA (tRNA) molecules are approximately 80 nucleotides in length. Their secondary structure includes four short double-helical elements and three loops (D, anti-codon, and T loops).
Source: RNAcentral
UGGGCCCUAGUUCAACGGCAGAACAUCGGCCUUUGGCGCCGAGAAUCCUGGUUCGAAUCCAGGGGGCCCAACCA